AGUAAAUGUUUGGAAAAAAAGAAGUAAUAAAGAUGAUAAUAAAGAUGCUCUAGAUGACAAUCUAAAGAGUCAUUCGGUGCCGGUCAUUUUAAGCCGUCUGAUUGGAGAAUCAAGAACGUCGGGUGAAGACAACGGUGAUGAUGAAGGUGACGGUGAUGAUGAUGGUGAUGAAAGUGUCGAUGAUGAAAUUGAUGGUUCAGAUGAUGAUAGAUCAGAUGCUUCUUCUAACUUCCUUUUGUUGUUGAUACCUAUCCCUACACCAUCACCAUCGUUAUCGUUACCAACAUUGUUGGUAACGAUAACUUCAGUGUCUUGGCUUCCCACAUUAACCUCCUUAGUUGUCAUGUAACCCUUCAAACGUUUCACGUCAGAUAAUUUCACUGGCUUCACUAUAAAAUCCUCUGCACCUUCCUCC
RNAcentral lists this long non-coding RNA (415 nucleotides) under Medicago truncatula (barrel medic). RNAcentral describes it as "lncRNA gene30323". The record is from RNAcentral. Lineage: Eukaryota; Viridiplantae; Streptophyta; Magnoliopsida; Fabales; Fabaceae.